UUUCCGUAGGKGAACCUGSGGAAGGAUCAUUCAUGUUUUUAAAACAGUUUUUUAGGGGGGGGGGGAUUGUAUGUGGAAACACCUUGUUUGGUGCGUUUGCAUGCAUUUCCCUUUUCUAAGAGGCUACAACCAUUCCGGUGACCAUUCUAUACCUUUUUGUUGUUGUUGUACUCCGGUGCUGUAAAAUGCAUCGUUUACCACACACAACUUUUUUUAUUUAAAACCCACCAUGAAAAACCACAACAGAAACGAAACCAAGAAAAUAAAACUCGUGACGGAGGAUAUCUUGGCUCCCACAUCGAUGAAGAACGCAGCGAAAUGCGAUACGUAGUGUGAAUUGCAGAACACGUGAGUCAUCGAAUCUUUGAACGCAAGUGGUGCUCGCGGGCAAUCCUGCGAGCAUGUCUGUUUGAGUGUCCGCACAAAAUACUCGCGCCCCUUGUAUGUAUACAUUUUAUGUAAAUACAAGGUGUGUGCGGCGAUUGGGUAUUUAUCUGCUUCACUGCGGAAGACCCGGAAUGCAGCGCUUGGAAGUUACAUGGGGCGUCAGCCCCAUUUCCGUGUGCAUCAACAUAUCUGCGCGACUAUCUAGCGCGGAAAACCAGUGUUUAAAAAAAACUAGCAAGCAAUGCGUGGUGCUUCGUUGCGUCCGCUGCGCUGAAAAGAAAGGAAGUCUGGACGGAAACGACGUCUCGGGGCUCUCUCUGCUGGGAAGUAACUACAUUCCAGAGGGGGGAGAUGAGGUGGAGUUUUUUUGGGUGCUGGACUGCCAUGAAAAAACUUUUCGGGGCACAUUGUGGGAAACCGCGGUGUAAAAGGCGGUGCGUGAGCGGGUGCUGUAUACUACAUGCGCAGUGUGUCACUGGCGGACUUUAUUCUCGGAUCUCAAAUCAGGCAAGACU
This 902-nucleotide ribosomal RNA is filed under the name Sheathia involuta. RNAcentral describes it as "eukaryotic LSU rRNA". The stretch from base 267 to 419 matches the Rfam family "5.8S ribosomal RNA". Lineage: Eukaryota; Rhodophyta; Florideophyceae; Batrachospermales; Batrachospermaceae. The record is from RNAcentral.